RNAcentral lists this ribosomal RNA (253 nucleotides) under uncultured bacterium. Its description in RNAcentral is "partial 16S ribosomal RNA". It matches the Rfam family "Bacterial small subunit ribosomal RNA", at positions 524 to 776 of the family's 1533-position model. The record is from RNAcentral.
UACGAAGGGGGCUAGCGUUGCUCGGAAUCACUGGGCGUAAAGGGUGCGUAGGCGGGUCUUUAAGUCAGGGGUGAAAUCCUGGAGCUCAACUCCAGAACUGCCUUUGAUACUGAAGAUCUUGAGUCCGGGAGAGGUGAGUGGAACUGCGAGUGUAGAGGUGAAAUUCGUAGAUAUUCGCAAGAACACCAGUGGCGAAGGCGGCUCACUGGCCCGGUACUGACGCUGAGGCACGAAAGCCAGGGGAGCAAACGGG